AUUGAACGCUGGCGGCAGGCCUAACACAUGCAAGUCGAACGAGUGGCGGACGGGUGAGUAAUGUCUGGGAAACUGCCCGAUGGAGGGGGAUAACUACUGGAAACGGUAGCUAAUACCGCAUACCAUCGGAUGUGCCCAGAUGGGAUUAGCUAGUAGGUGGGGUAAUGGCUACCCUAGGAGACGAUCCCUAGCUGGUCUGAGAGGAUGACCAGCCACACUGGAACGGAGACACGGUCCAGACGCAGACGGGAGGCAUCAGUGGGGAAUAUUGCACAAGGGGCGCAAGCCUGAUGCAGCCAUGCCGCGUGUAUGAAGAAGGCCUUCGGGUUGUAAAGUACUUGCAGCGGGGAGGCGUUACCCGCAGAAGAAGCACCGGCUAACUCCGUGCCAGCAGCCGCGGUAAUUC
Molecule: ribosomal RNA, 406 nt
Filed under: uncultured bacterium
Lineage: Bacteria
Description: partial 16S ribosomal RNA
Rfam family: Bacterial small subunit ribosomal RNA
Source: RNAcentral